UUUUUUUUGUUGUUUUUUGUUUUGUUUUGUUUUGUUUUGUUUUAGACAGAGUGAGCAGCGGGGAAGUCCAGAGUGAGAAGAGAGAAUCUUAAGUGGGCUCCACAUCCAGUGCAGAGCCCAACAUGAUCCCAUGUCCCUGAGAUCAUGACCUAAGCAGAAAUCAAGAGUCAGCUGCUUAGCCAACUGGGCCACCCAGAUGCCUCAGAUCAGGUGAUCUUCUUGAAGCCUUCAAUGGUGUAAGAAACUUGCCCUAAAUAAAAAUUCCCUUUCACCCAGUAAUUGUCACUUACGUGACAAAAAGUAUUUUAAAAACAUGAUUAUCAAUAUUAUGCAUUUGGUUAGCCCUCUAUUUCAAAGCUAAAUAUUUUAAAUAAAACCUGCUUGCUUGAGGAUCUUAAGAUAUAAGAAAUCACAAUUUCACCCCCGUCUUAGCAAAUGUCUUUUCUAAACUAGUCAAAGAAAAAAUAAUAUUCUUUAAAAAAAUGAACUUAAGCAAAGUACACGAUAUACAUUAAUUGACUAAUGGUUCUUCCCAGAUAUUUAUCUCUAGUUUUCUUUGCAAGCAUGAGCAAUAGCAAAAGUUCCACCACUGAAUGAUUUGAACCUCCCAAAUUUUUCUAUUCACUCUCAAUUCCCUCAUGCUCCAAAUAGUUGAAGUGAAGUCCUCUUUGUGGACUGUUUAUAACCCAAAUAUUGUAUAAAAAACCAACACAAGGAAACCUUGUAUGUAUUUUGGGCCAGAAAAGUUUUUGUUCUUUCUACUAAAGUUCAUAUUAAUCCCCGAAUUCUCAAAGAUAUGGCAAGAAAUCUGUGUUCUUUCUAGGCAACAUGUAGUUAGUUAGUUGUUAGUUAGUUAGUUAAUGCGUUAGUUACUUAGUUAUUGAUAGAGCACACAUGAGGCAGUGGGAAGGGGCAGAGGGAGAGGGAAAGAGAGAAUCUCAAGCAGACUCCAUGCCCAGACUGGGCUGGAUCCCAUGAUCCUGAGAUCAUGACCUGAGCUGAAACCAAGAGUCCCAUGCUUAGCUGACUGAGCCACCCAGGUGUUCCUAGGCAAUAUGUAAUUUAAAUAGUAUUUUGAAAAUAGAAAUAGAAGUCUGAAUGAGGUAUACAUUUUAAUGUCUCCAGAAUACUUUGCUUCUGCCUUGAAUGGAAGAGUCAAUCCUUAAGAGGCAGCCAGACCAUUUGAUGUGUUCUCACACGAAUCCCAACUGCACUAUCCUGGCCUGGACACCUAGAAUACUGGAACUGGAUAUAAUUAUCAAUAGCAAUAUCAUUUUCUCAAGACAGCUCUUUGAAACAAAGUUGAUGGACCUCCACAUUUAUAACAUCUGUGCUAAGUUUUAAAGUUUGAAGCCCCAGGGUCCACCAGUCCUCAAGAGCCAAGAGCUGAGGCUAACACACUGGAUCAGACUUUAUCUGAAUAUUAACUCACAGGAACAUUCAUUUAUUCUAAAAUUUUUAAAAUUUUGCAAUCUGUUGCAGUUUAUCCACCCUCCUCCCCCAAAUGAUCUGGUAAAAAUAUUUCAUUUAGAUAUUCUCUAUUGUAUCUGUUCAUCUGUUUGGUAGCAGUUGAUCUGUAGUUAGUGUGAAGAGAAGGAAAAUGACAUGGGCUGGGCCAGGAAGGACAUUCCUAGACUGCCCACAGUCUCACUGUGUAGACGGCCUCACAGUAGUGAGCCUACCUUUCUUUGUAAAUGUCACCUGUGCCCUGAUUCCAGCACAUCUUGACUGACAGAGACCAAACCAUAGUGCUCUCAAAGUAUGGUUUAUAGAUCCCUGGGGAGUCCACAGACACUUUUCAGUAAUCCUCAUAGUCAAAACUAUUUCCAUAGUAAUUGUAAGACAUUUAGCCUUUUCACUGCAUUGACAUUUGUACUAAUGAUGCAAAAACAAUCAUGAGUAAAACUACCGGUGCCUUAGCAGGAUUCAAAGCAGCGCACCACACUGUACUAGUCGCCACUGUAUUUUUCAAGACCACUCACUUGCAGGGGAGAAAUGCCAGUUUUAUUUGAAAAUGCUUGUUGAAGCUGUAAAAAUUAUUAAAAUUUAUUUACAACUUUUAGUUAUCUUCUUAAUAUAGUCAGUGAGGUAGGGAGUUUUGCAGGCACAAUUCUGCAUACGGAAGCACAGUGGUUAUUUCAAGGAAAAACACGUGUAGUUGCUUGAGCUGAGACAUUAACUGGCUCCUUUUUAAAAACUAUUUGACAUGAUUCUUAUUUGAAAGAAUUAUCAAAAACUAUAGUUAUUCAGACUUGAGUAUUUAGCACUUUCUCAAAAAUUAGUGCAUCUGUCACUUCAAGAAAACAACAGUUUUGAAGUAAAAAAAUCAAAUUCAGGAAAAUGUGCAUCUCCCACCCCAAUACUGACAGCUUCCCAAAUAUUUUUUAAAGAUUUUAUUUAUUUAUUCAUGAGAGACACACACGCAGUAAGAGAGAGAGAGAGAGAGAGAGAGAUGCAAGGAGAGGGAGAAGCAGGCUCCAUGCAGGGAGUCUGACAUGGGACUCAAUCCCGGGACUCCAGGAUCAUGCCCUGGGCCAAAGACAGGCACCAAACAGCUGAGCCAACCCAAGCAUCCAAGCUUUCCAAAUACUUACAGACUUUUCUGAUGUGAACACUCUGAUAUUAACAAGUGUAAUUUUCUUAUAUUUUAUAAUAAAAUAUGUCAACAUUUGGAAGCUCUACAUAACUCAAUGAACCAAUGUUUUUCAUGACUGAUACAUGAUUUUACACAAUCAUGUGUGUAUAAAGACCCCCUUCCAACUGUAACAAGUGUGAAAAGUUCCCUGAUAGGGUUUCACAUACUACAUGGCAGCUGCUGUUUAGGAAACAAGCACCUGUAGAGUUUGGGUGUUGCAUUACAGAAGAAUACCUACAAAUGAUUGGAAAAGGCUACUAGCAUACUCCUCACUUUUCCAACUACAUAGCUAUGUGAGGCAGUAUUUUCUUUGUAUAUCUACCUCAGCCAAGGCAACAUAUCACAACAUAUUUCAUGCCAAGAAAAUUAGGAGAAACUGGUUGUCCUCUCUGAAAGGUAGCCUUUAUGAAGUUUGCAAAAACGUAAUGUCAUUUUUUUCAGUAUUUUUUGAGAAAUACAGUUAUGUUUUGCUAAAAUAUGCUAUUUAUUAAUAUAUAAUGGUCUUGUUAUUUUAUUUUUAUUUAAUUUUUUUGAGAGAGAAGAAGAGUGUGUAAGUGGGGAGAGACAGAGGGAGAAGGAGAGAGAGAAUCCCAAGCAGACCCCAUGUUGGAUGUGGAGGACCCCAAGAUCAUGACCUAAGCUGAAAUCACAGGUCAGAUGCUUAACCAACUGAGCCACCCAGGCACCUUAGGUUUUGUUAUUUUUUAAAAAGCAAAAGUAUAUUUUAACUUUUUUUAUUUUAAUUCCUCAUAUGAUAAACAUCAUAGAUAUAAACCCAUAUCAAUGAAAGUUCUUUGAGGUCCUGGAUAAUUUUUAAGGACAUAAAAGAGUCUUGAGGUAAAAAAAUUUUAAAUUUGCUGCCUUCUUGCAAAUCAAUAUGGCCAAUCUACUGUUAUAAAGUUCAGCAAUAUAACAAACUCUCUAAGGCAGGGUCAAGACAUUUACUAAUGUCAAAAAAAAAAAAAAAACAAAAAA
This 3610-nucleotide long non-coding RNA is filed under the name Canis lupus familiaris (dog). Its description in RNAcentral is "lncRNA (ENSCAFG00000050371.1)". Lineage: Eukaryota; Metazoa; Chordata; Mammalia; Carnivora; Canidae. The record is from RNAcentral.